This 565-nucleotide ribosomal RNA is filed under the name uncultured Glomus. Its description in RNAcentral is "SSU rRNA". It matches the Rfam family "Eukaryotic small subunit ribosomal RNA", at positions 546 to 1106 of the family's 1831-position model. The record is from RNAcentral. Lineage: Eukaryota; Fungi; Glomeromycota; Glomeromycetes; Glomerales; Glomeraceae.
AAUUGGAGGGCAAGUCUGGUGCCAGCAGCCGCGGUAAUUCCAGCUCCAAUAGCGUAUAUUAAAGUUGUUGCAGUUAAAAAGCUCGUAGUUGAAUUUCGGGAUUGACGUGACGGUCGUGCCUUACGGGGUAUGAACUGUCGCCGUUGAUUUCUCACCUUCUGGAGAAGCUCGAUGUCCUUAAUUGGGUGUCUUGCGGAACCAGGACCUUUACCUUGAAAAAAUUAGAGUGUUUAAAGCAGGCAUUUUGCUCGAAUACAUUAGCAUGGAAUAAUAGAAUAGGACGGCAUGGUUCUAUUUUGUUGGUUUCUAGGAUCACCGUAAUGAUUAAUAGGGAUAGUUGGGGGCAUUAGUAUUCAAUUGUCAGAGGUGAAAUUCUUGGAUUUAUUGAAGACUAACUACUGCGAAAGCAUUUGCCAAGGAUGUUUUCAUUAAUCAAGAACGAAAGUUAGGGGAUCGAAGACGAUCGGAUACCGUCGUAGUCUUAACCAUAAACUAUGCCGACUAGGAAUCAGACGAUGUUAAUUUUUUAAUGACUCGUUUGGCACCUUACGGGAAACCAAAGUGU